This 2209-nucleotide long non-coding RNA is filed under the name Anser cygnoides (Swan goose). Its description in RNAcentral is "lncRNA (ENSACDG00005015937.1)". Lineage: Eukaryota; Metazoa; Chordata; Aves; Anseriformes; Anatidae. The record is from RNAcentral.
AGGGGUUGCUUUGUUUGUUGAUACAAACGGUCUCCACGCAGUGCGCGGGCUCGGCGAGGCUGGAAACCCUAUCAAUAUUUUGGUGACACCGAGUUACUAAGCUGCUGUCAAAGCCCGCCGAGAAAGGGAGCAGAUCCUCUCCCCGGGAGCAGCUUGCUCCCUUAACUCGUGGCUCUCUGCUUCGAGCACGUUUUUAUAUUUUGUGACACCGCCGUGCAGCAUUGGUAUCUAGUCCUAUUUUGUGACAGAGAGGGUUGAAGUUGAUGUGCUCUCCCCUUCCUCCUGGGGGUGCUGAGCUGGCCGGGCUCCUCCUGGCCUUUGGGGACAUGGUGCCGGGCCGCGGGCUGCCCGCCGGCUGGGUGCAGCAGGCAGGAGGCUUGGCUGAGGGCUGCCUUGUUUGUUCUCCUCUCCCUGCCUCGACUCAGAGCCUUGGCAGUCCCUGUGAAAAUGCCUGGGGGUUAGAAAAGUCUGAAAAUGUGUUUGUUUCAAAUACUUGGCUGGGCUUUUUCUAGGCAGGGUUCCCAGCACAGGUGUGAACUUUUUUUUGGGUGCUGUUUGUAAUGCAAACACAGCGAAGGAAGCGCUCCCAUAUUCUGCCUGGAUUUCAUAACGCUCCGGCAUUGCUAUUUUUUUUUUCUUUACCUUAUAGCCCUUGGCAAUGUUAGUUUUACUCCUUAUUUAUUCAUUUAUUACUUAUAAACCAUCCUCCCUCCUGUCCCCAAGCCACCUCUGAAUGCCGAUGGAGCACUACAUCCCCAUGCAUGGACGCAGCUCUCACCCCGGAGCUAUUUGCCAUCCUUGUGCAAACGAAAGGAAACAACAGGUUUCAUCAGCCUGGGAACCUGUGCACGCAGGAGUGUUUUUCCUGCUUUCAAGCUCAAACCACCUUCACACCUGAAAUCCCAGCGGAGCCUGCCUGAGGCCAGCAUCCCAUACGAAGCCAGGAGGGACAGUUCUGUCAGCUCUGCUCGGAAGAACUGUCUUGAAUAUCCCGCAGGCUUUGGUGAGAAUUUUAGAAAGUCUGUCAACAUUCGUAUUUCUACACACAUGUACGUAGCAUUUCUACAUGAGGCAAAGUCAGAGUAUGCCAUUACAUAUUUGCUUUUUAACAGCAGGUUCGCUGUCACUCUACAGGCAAAAUACCCUAUGCAGCGUCUUACUACUGGAGGCCUGGAGACGAGGAGAUUACGGCAGGUGCUAAGCAGAUAAUAAGGUCACAAGUUUGGUGAGUUGUGUCACUCUUACCGACCUAAACUUUCAUCCCCUUUUUUAGUGCUACUCAAAUGUGCUCUUUAAAAGUUUUGAAUUUCAUCAGACAUCACAGAAGUUAUCCUCAUGGUGCUUUCAGAAAGACUGGUGGUAGAGGCUUGCUGUCAUCACAUCGUCGUCUCGUCCAAGUGGCUGAAUUGCUAUAUGUUAAAGCUCUGGUUAGACCGAGGAAAUGCUCAUAUGUAUGCUUCUAAGGACAACUUGCUAUAAGCCUGUAAAAUGAAUAAGAUGGAUGAAGAGGGCUUAGGUUUGAACCAGUCUUUGGGUCCUCCUCACGCCUUGAAGUCUGUCUGGCUGAUAUGGCUACGUGCAACGGGUAAGAACGUUGGGUCUAAGUUAUGAAAACAGCUGCAGCACAGGAUGGGUCUUAAAUCUCCCCUGGAUGUCCAUAUGCGUGUAUGCAUGUAUCAACCAGCCGUGUCUUCCUGCUUGACAUCCAGCUGUUCGCCCUGCUAGGCAAAGCUUAGUAAACUAUUUCCAGCAAAUUUGAGUGGAAUUUGAUAAAUAGUUUCAGGCGAUGUAUUGUUUGAGGUGAAUUUUCUAAGGAUUUAAACCUUCUGCUAAUAAGUCUUUAAUCAUGAAUUUUUGCUUUGAUAUUAGUUAUUUUCCAGCACUGUCUGAAGCAGUGAGUGGAGUAAUGGGCCAUUUUGACUCUACAUUUUAAUAUACUUCAUAUUUGGCGAUGCCCAAGAAAAAUGUCUUCAUCCUAAAUUGUCAUUUAAAAAAUACCAGGGUGACUGUUAAUUGUGGCCACAGUGGAAACCGUAAACCAGCAAAAAUAAGGGUUUAAGAAACAGGAAUGCUAAUCAAAAAGGGGAUCCAUUUAAGUUUUCCUUAAAUUUUUCCUUAAACUUAGUGCAAGUAUUUUCCCAGGAUGGAGAAGUGCUCAACUGGGUUAUUAAUUUAUACAUGAGCAAAAGAGGUUUAAGCAUUCUCCUUG